This 188-nucleotide unclassified non-coding RNA is filed under the name soil metagenome. RNAcentral describes it as "partial internal transcribed spacer 1". The record is from RNAcentral.
CAGAGUUGCAAAACUCCCACAAACCAUCGCGAAUCUUACCCGUACGGUUGCCUCGGCGCUGGCGGUCCGGAAGGCCCUCGGGCCCCCCGGAUCCUCGGGUCUCCCGCUCGCGGGAGGCUGCCCGCCGGAGUGCCGAAACCAAACUCUUGGUAUUUUAUGUCUCUCUGAGUAAACUUUUAAAUAAGUCA